This is a long non-coding RNA of Cucumis melo (muskmelon), 409 nucleotides long. RefSeq lists it as uncharacterized. Lineage: Eukaryota; Viridiplantae; Streptophyta; Magnoliopsida; Cucurbitales; Cucurbitaceae. The transcript is spliced from 2 exons. The record is from RefSeq and is a predicted model, not a curated record.
UUAAACCAUCGAAAAUUGUAGAAUUUCUACAACCCAAACUUAACAAAACAAUAGUUUCAAAAUUUGCAUAUCUUAAGAAUAUGGCUUCUUCCCGUAUCAUCUGCUUUGCUCUUAUAUUUGCAGUUGCAUUGAUCUUAGUGCCUCAAGAUGUCUUAGCUGCCAAAAGAUGUCAAGACGUUUUGUAUAACACUGGGUGCUCUCUCAAUGAUUGUGGGAAGAAAUGUUGGGAGAAGCAUCAUACUAUUUCACAUCAAUGCAUUCCAACUAAUCCUUCUCAAACCAUAUAUGCGUGUUAUUGUUUCUUUGAUUGUGGUGAUCAAAAGAAUUGAUCUGCAUGCUGACCUCUCCCAAUUUUAUGUAAUGUACUUUAUCACUUAAACAUACAAAUAAUAUCACACAUCUUCCAUAA